UACAGAGGGUGCGAGCGUUAAUCGGAAUUACUGGGCGUAAAGCGUGCGUAGACGGCUAUCUAAGUCGGGUGUGAAAGCCCCGGGCUCAACCUGGGAAUUGCAUUCGAGACUGAAUAGCUAGGGUACGGUAGAGGGAAGUGGAAUUUCCGGUGUAGCGGUGAAAUGCGUAGAUAUCGGAAGGAACAUCAGUGGCGAAAGCGACUUCCUGGAUCAGUACCGACGUUCAGGCACGAAAGCGUGGGGAGCAAACAGG
Molecule: ribosomal RNA, 253 nt
Filed under: uncultured bacterium
Lineage: Bacteria
Description: partial 16S ribosomal RNA
Rfam family: Bacterial small subunit ribosomal RNA
Source: RNAcentral